UAAUGAAAGUAGCUUGGUACUGUGCACAGAGAUUGAAUCUUUCGAUGGAACGACAUGUCUGCUCUCUCGGAGCUUGGCUUUGAUGUGUGGGCCUGGUUUAGUUCUACAUUU
Molecule: small nucleolar RNA, 111 nt
Organism: Hibiscus syriacus
Lineage: Eukaryota; Viridiplantae; Streptophyta; Magnoliopsida; Malvales; Malvaceae
Product: small nucleolar RNA snoR100
Exons: 1
Source: RefSeq, a predicted model, not a curated record